GAUGAACGCUAGCGGGAGGCCUAACACAUGCAAGCCGAGCGGUAUUUGUUCUUCGGAACAGAGAGAGCGGCGCACGGGUGCGGAACACGUGUGCAACCUGCCUUUAUCUGGGGGAUAGCCUUUCGAAAGGAAGAUUAAUACCCCAUAAUAUAUUGAGUGGCAUCAUUUGAUAUUGAAAACUCCGGUGGAUAGAGAUGGGCACGCGCAAGAUUAGAUAGUUGGUGAGGUAACGGCUCACCAAGUCAAUGAUCUUUAGGGGGCCUGAGAGGGUGAUCCCCCACACUGGUACUGGGACACGGACCAGACUCCUACGGGAGGCAGCAGUGAGGAAUAUUGGACAAUGGGUUAGCGCCUGAUCCAGCCAUCCCGCGUGAAGGACGACGGCCCUAUGGGUUGUAAACUUCUUUUGUAUAGGGAUAAACCUACUCUCGUGAGAGUAGCUGAAGGUACUAUACGAAUAAGCACCGGCUAACUCCGUG
This 479-nucleotide ribosomal RNA is filed under the name uncultured bacterium. RNAcentral describes it as "partial 16S ribosomal RNA". It matches the Rfam family "Bacterial small subunit ribosomal RNA", at positions 28 to 507 of the family's 1533-position model. The record is from RNAcentral.